UACGGAGGGUGCAAGCGUUGUUCGGAAUUACUGGGCGUAAAGCGCGUGCAGGCGGCCGAUUAAGUCCGGUGUGAAAGCCCGGGGCUCACCCCCGGAAGUGCGCUGGAAACUGAUCGGCUAGAGUACGGGAGAGGGAAGCGGAAUUCCUGGUGUAGCGGUGAAAUGCGUAGAUAUCAUUUGGAACGCCAAUGGUGAAAACAGCUUGCUGGGGGUUUGCUGACGCUGAGACACGAAAGCCAGGGGAGCAAACGGG
This 253-nucleotide ribosomal RNA is filed under the name uncultured bacterium. Its description in RNAcentral is "partial 16S ribosomal RNA". It matches the Rfam family "Bacterial small subunit ribosomal RNA", at positions 524 to 776 of the family's 1533-position model. The record is from RNAcentral.